GCCGGCAAUUUUUUUUCUUUCCUUCCUCUUCUCUCGUUUUUUUUCUUUUGGGCCUGUCCCCCCUUGUCACGGACGCAGACCCUUAGACAAUACCGUGACACCUGCUCUGUCACUUUUGUGAAUGAAAGACAUAGGAUGUCAAAGGGCAUAUAAAUACAUCUAGGUAAGGGAGAAAUAUAUCUAGGUAAGGUUUUUGUACUUGUAGAAUUUGAAGAUCAUGACUGUACAGAUUAGAUAGGAUAAUUAGAUACUUAAAAAUGCACUUUAGUUAAAACAAAGAAGUUCUAGAAGAUGGACAGAAAUCAUGUAGGCUGUUUUUUUUAGUUAUUUAGUGAGCUGCUGUUUGAAUUGUUCCAAUUCCAGUGGAAGAGAAUGAGAUGAGGUAAAGAGUAUCCUUAAAUGACAAGAAAUUUCCCACUUUUUGGUUUUGGUAAACUUUGUGUUUAUGGGACUGGUACACAACGAGAAAGUGAAACAAAAUGAAAAAGUUCUAUGCAAUGAGUAGCGGUGCUGCAAGGUCAAAACUACUGGACAACUGAUUCAGACAUAGCAGAGGCUUCCAAUUAUAUAUAACAAAAAGUCGAUCUUACAGUAAUUUUACUGGUUACCUCUAUGCCUUUUAAUAGAUGAGAACUUCAAUGAUCCAUGUGGCACUUUGGGACCCAGUUGUUGUUUUCUCUGAAAAGGAUUUAUGCAGUCAUUAAAAUGUUUUAGAAUUCUUUGUAAUCAUAUCUUCCUCAGCUUCUUUCAGUUUAAAGUCUUUACCUAUGCUGCCCGUUAAUUUUGUGCAUGUGUGUUAAGUAGUUAUAUUUGUGCUUGUGUAUUUAUCCAAGUUCAUGUCAUUCUCACCUUCUUACACAGCAAGCACACUGCUUUGUGAAUGUGAUUGAAUAAACCUUUGGUUUAGGGCAUCACAGACAUUUUAAAAUUCAUCACUGAGCUGAAUUUACUUUUCACGAGUCUGAAGUUCAGAAUGUGGCUGAGAGAAGGGAAAAAUGUGACAGAUGUUGUUCCUCGAAGUGUUAUAGACCAAAGGAAGAACACUUGGGAAUGUGUACUGAAAGCCAGCAGCACUCAUCUGCUCUGCACCAUCAAACACAACAAUUCUGAAUGAAUUUCACUUGUAUACAUGUUUACAUUACUGUUUGUGUGUUAUCUUUGAAGUUCUUCCCAUGGUAGCUCUCACUCCUUUAUGUGAGCAUGUCAAAUGUGUCCCUGAGUGUGAGGGAAGAGGAGGAAAGGAGAGAAAUUUCACUCUACCACAUGACAGAUCCCUAGUGCAGAGCUGCAAUGUAUUUUGCUUGGCUCCUCUAGAUCAAGUUGCCUGUUGGGGCUUUGUCUGCAAGGGCAGAGGAGUUGCAAGAAAACUCAUGUCAGCAGCAAACGCAGUAAUAGCUUGUGCUACCUGCUUCUAGUUUCUCCAGAUUUUACCUCUUUCUCAAGUAUAUCCAUCUAUGUUUUUCAAAUCUAAGACCGUCCUAGAUGCACUUUUGACAAGCUGCAAUGAGAUGUCUCCCAUCUGCAGAACUCUUCAGUGCACUUAGCAACAGAGCAUACAAGUUCUGGAUCCUCUUUGGUGUGGUCCUUAAUCCUGGUGUGCCAGUAUUGAAGACAGCCUGUUCUCUAGCUAAGGCUAGCUUUAAAAAUCAGAAACAAACCAAACAGCCGUUUCUUUGCACACCUCAUCCCAGUGCCUGCCACAACUGUCAUAGAAACACUGACAUGCAAAUAAAGGCUCUAGAAAGAGCCCUUUCUGUAAGCAACUGUUUGGAUGUUACUUGUAAAUACCUGUUUCAAUUCAGUGUUUGUUGGACAACUUCAUGUCUAGAUGCUGACCUUAAAACAACAUAGGGUUUUAUGGAGACUUGCAAAGACUUGAUGUAUUUUAAAAUUAAAUGGUAUUUUAUCCAACCUUGUGUGCUGCUCUCUGCUUCAUCCACUGACAUAGGUGUGUCACAUCUUCUUGACUAGGGUAAUGCAUUUACAGUGCUGCUUUGUAUACUGCAUGUUAUGUACUGUAUAUGUAACAUAAUAUCCUAGUUCUGAAAUUUUUGGAAAUGGACUCGUGUUUCUGUAUUAAUUCAACAAGCAAGUUAGGCUAUUAAGGGAAUUUAGACAACAUUUUACUUCAAAAUCUGUCAAAUAUCAAAACGUUGGUGUUCCAGCCUGACAUGUAGAACAAGAAAUUCAUUGUUCUGGGAUUUAUUUAAGUUACAUAAUUGCAAUUUUAAUUGUUUGCGUAUUUUUUUACAGGGCUGGCAUUCAAGUGCCAUGGUGAUGGCUGAUACAAACUGCUAAAAUGAAUGCACAGAAGGCUUUCAGUACAACUUACUAUGAAUGGAAUACUGAUAAAGAAAAAAGAUAAAUCUUUCGGCCCUUUCACUUUCUGCUUUUAUGACUGAGAGGACUAGGAAGACCCUAGUCUCAAGGCACCAUAUAUUGCUCACACCCUCAGGCAUGAGGAAUGCCCUUGAUGAACUUCAUGUAACAAGAGUGAUGAAUAUACGAAUGCUUGUCAGGUCUGCUUAUUCUGAGGCAAGCCAGCUUCUGUGGCAAUGUUAUUUGAUCAGUGUGCGCAGAGGUGCAAAAAACAGAAAUAAGGGAGGUAACUUCCGUGCCUGUUUAAGAAAGAGAGGAGGUAAAAUAUUUUCAAAAUGUUUAUUGUGGCUCACUAUUAAUACAUGUAUAUGUAUCCCAAUAUUACAUAUAUCUAAAGCAUAAUAAACAAUGACCUGAAAGCAUG
Molecule: long non-coding RNA, 2743 nt
Organism: Numida meleagris (helmeted guineafowl)
Lineage: Eukaryota; Metazoa; Chordata; Aves; Galliformes; Numididae
Exons: 3
Source: RefSeq, a predicted model, not a curated record